CAGUAGCCGCGGGAAUACGGAGGAUCCAAGCGUUAUCCGGAUUUAUUGGGUUUAAAGGGUGCGUAGGUGGCCUGUUAAGUCAGGGGUGAAAGACGGUAGCUCAACUAUCGCAGUGCCUUUGAUACUGACGGGCUUGAAUGAACUAGAGGUAGGCGGAAUGUGACAAGUAGCGGUGAAAUGCAUAGAUAUGUCACAGAACACCAAUUGCGAAGGCAGCUUACUAUGGUUUUAUUGACACUGAGGCACGAAAGCGUGGGGAUCAAACAGGAUUAGAUACCCCGGUAGUCCCUGUCUCUUAUAU
This 301-nucleotide ribosomal RNA is filed under the name uncultured bacterium. RNAcentral describes it as "partial 16S ribosomal RNA". It matches the Rfam family "Bacterial small subunit ribosomal RNA", at positions 509 to 809 of the family's 1533-position model. The record is from RNAcentral.